CUUUGCCAUGGCACCAAGCACAGAACCUUUCACAAAAUAGGUUGCUGAGCAAGGAAAGAAAUCCGUCUCCCUCCAUCGGUGGAUGAUGGGUUGAUAGAAGAUGAACUGGACUGUACUGUCAGCGGAGCCCGAGUUACGAAUCUGCAGGAGUCAACAGGAAAGUAGAAGUAAUGUGACAGUGCGGUGCUUUCUGGUCCCUUGCAGCUUCGAACAAGAGUAUAUGGUAGUGCUGAUGGUUUUAGGCUGUGUGAGGGACUGCACUGCGGGAGAAGUGGCAAUGGCAGUAUCAU
Molecule: long non-coding RNA, 290 nt
Filed under: Homo sapiens (human)
Lineage: Eukaryota; Metazoa; Chordata; Mammalia; Primates; Hominidae
Description: HSALNT0147186
Source: RNAcentral